Molecule: ribosomal RNA, 660 nt
Filed under: Staphylococcus sp.
Lineage: Bacteria; Bacillati; Bacillota; Bacilli; Caryophanales; Staphylococcaceae
Description: bacterial SSU rRNA
Rfam family: Bacterial small subunit ribosomal RNA
Source: RNAcentral
UUGCUCCUUUGAAGUUAGCGGCGGACGGGUGAGUAACACGUGGGUAACCUACCUAUAAGACUGGAAUAACUUCGGGAAACCGGAGCUAAUACCGGAUAACAUUUGGAACCGCAUGGUUCUAAAGUGAAAGAUGGUUUUGCUGUCACUUAUAGAUGGACCCGCGCCGUAUUAGCUAGUUGGUAAGGUAACGGCUUACCAAGGCAACGAUACGUAGCCGACCUGAGAGGGUGAUCGGCCACACUGGAACUGAGACACGGUCCAGACUCCUACGGGAGGCAGCAGUAGGGAAUCUUCCGCAAUGGACGAAAGUCUGACGGAGCAACGCCGCGUGAGUGAUGAAGGUCUUCGGAUCGUAAAACUCUGUUAUUAGGGAAGAACAAAUGUGUAAGUAACUGUGCACAUCUUGACGGUACCUAAUCAGAAAGCCACGGCUAACUACGUGCCAGCAGCCGCGGUAAUACGUAGGUGGCAAGCGUUAUCCGGAAUUAUUGGGCGUAAAGCGCGCGUAGGCGGUUUCUUAAGUCUGAUGUGAAAGCCCACGGCUCAACCGUGGAGGGUCAUUGGAAACUGGAAAACUUGAGUACAGAAGAGGAAAGUGGAAUUCCAUGUGUAGCGGUGAAAUGCGCAGAGAUAUGGAGGAACACCAGUGGCGAAGGCGAC